RNAcentral lists this ribosomal RNA (497 nucleotides) under uncultured bacterium. RNAcentral describes it as "partial 16S ribosomal RNA". It matches the Rfam family "Bacterial small subunit ribosomal RNA", at positions 28 to 507 of the family's 1533-position model. The record is from RNAcentral.
GAUGAACGCUGGCGGCGUGCCUAAUACAUGCAAGUCGAGCGAACGGACGAGAAGCUUGCUUCUCUGAUGUUAGCGGCGGACGGGUGAGUAACACGUGGAUAACCUACCUAUAAGACUGGGAUAACUUCGGGAAACCGGAGCUAAUACCGGAUAAUAUUUUGAACCGCAAGGUUCAAAAGUGAAAGACGGUCUUGCUGUCACUUAUAGAUGGUUCCGCGCUGCAUUAGCUAGUUGGUAAGGUAACGGCUUACCAAGGCAACGAUGCGUAGCCGACCUGAGAGGAUGAUCGGCCACACUGGAACUGAGACACGGUCCAGACUCCUACGGGAGGCAGCAGUAGGGAAUCUUCGGCAAUGGGCGAAAGCCUGACGGAGCAACGCCGCGUGAGUGAUGAAGGUCUUCGGAUCGUAAAGCUCUGUUAUUGGGGAAGAACAUAUGUGUAAGUAACUGUGCACAUCUUGACGGUACCUAAUCAGAAAGCAACGGCUAACUACGUG